AUUACAGGUUUCUGUAGUUCAAGAUUAAAGGCAAGAAUCAGGCAAAUAUGAUUAUGAGAACAAGGCUAAUGAUGGAGAACCUUCAUCUACGGAAGCUGAGCAGUCUAUUGGGAAAACUAAGUUUCAAUGUGCAUCCUGAGUUUCAGCUACCUGAAAUCAAAGGCCAAUUUCAGUCGAUCCCGAAGUAAACUACCACAUAAGACAAGGAACAGGACACAGUUAUUUUCUGGAUUUCCAGAAGACAAGGACCAGGACCACAGCAAACAUCCUGAAUUUGAAGAAAAAAGUACUGAUGCAACCAUGGAAGGGGUGGAAGAUUAACUGUGGUCAUUUGGCGUAAAAUAUUUGACGAUGGUUUUUUCUCCCAAACUGGCAAGGUUCUACUUGGUACUGAUUGCCAUACCUACACUGUUGGAUCCUUUGCCCAACUUGCAACUGGAAACGUGAAACAGUGAUGCAGAUUUUGUGAUAGAUCUGGAAAGGCCUUUCGGAAGGUGUGCAAACAUGUAUCAUUGUUUCAUUGGAAAUGGUAUAACAAUGGAAAUAAUAUGUACGAACCAAUCUUUGCAACGAACAAUAGUGCAUAUAUUGAGUGUUGUGUCAUAUUAGCACCCUUUCCAUUCUGGUGCGAUAAAUAUAGGUUCUUAGCAUGUUUUUACUUUCUGUCAUGGACAUCUGUCUCUUUGUCAUAACGUAGUGAUAUGUCUUCAACGUAUCUAUAAUUUUUUAUUGUUCCAUGCUAUUAUAUUAUCCAUCUAGGAUGUUUUAUAUGCAUUUAUAUGCUAUUUUAUAUGAUUUUUGGGACUAACCUAUUAACCUAGAGCCCAGUGCCAGUUUCUGUUUUUUUCUUGUUUUUGAGUUUUGUAGAAAAGGAAUACCAAAUGGAGUCCAAUUGAUGUGCUAAUUUUUGAUGAUUUUUUAUGGACCAAAAGAAGCCCCCGGAGUAAAAGAGUUGGGCCAGAAGAGUCUCGGGCCAUCCACGAGGGUGGGGGACGCACCUACCCCCUGGGCGCGCCCCCCUAUUUUGUGGACGACUCGGAGACCCCCCUGACGUGAGACCUACGCCAAAAAUUCCUAUAAAUACAUAAACCCCCGGAACAUAACCUAGAUCGGGAGUUCCGCCGCCGCAAGGCUCUGUAGCCACCAAAAACCAAUUGGGACCCUGUUCCGGCACCCUGCCGGAGGGGGGAAUCCCUCGCCGGUGGCCAUCUUCAUCAUCCUGGCGCUCUCCAUGAUGAGGAGGGAGUAGUUCACCCUCGGGGCUGAGGGUAUGUACCAGUAGCUAUGUGUUUGAUCUCUCUCUUUCGUGUUCUUGAUUCGGCACGAUUUUGAUGUAUCGCGAGCUUUGCUAUUAUAGUUGGAUCUUAUGAUGUUUCUCGCCCUCUACUCUCUUGUAAUGGAUUGAGUUUUCCCUUUGAAGUUAUCUUAUCGGAUUAAGUCUUUAAGGAUUUGAGAAUACUUGAUGUAUGUCUUGCAUGUGC
RNAcentral lists this ribosomal RNA (1481 nucleotides) under Triticum aestivum (bread wheat). RNAcentral describes it as "partial small subunit ribosomal RNA". Lineage: Eukaryota; Viridiplantae; Streptophyta; Magnoliopsida; Poales; Poaceae. The record is from RNAcentral.